GAAAUGCGAUAAGUAGUGUGAAUUGCAGAAUUCAGUGAAUCAUCGAAUCUUUGAACGCACAUUGCGCCCCUUGGUAUUCCAUGGGGCAUGCCUGUUCGAGCGUCAUUUGUACCCUCAAGCUCUGCUUGGUGUUGGGUGUUUGUCCAGUCUCCGCGCGUGGACUCGCCCCAAAGUGAUUGGCAGCCGGCGUACUGGUCCCGGAGCGCAGCACAUGUCGCGCAAACGAGUGCCUUAGUACGGCGGCGUCCAUAAGCCCCUCUCUCACGCUCUUGACCUCGGAUCAGGUAGGGAUACCCGCUGAACUUAAGC
RNAcentral lists this unclassified non-coding RNA (309 nucleotides) under plant metagenome. RNAcentral describes it as "partial contains 5.8S ribosomal RNA, internal transcribed spacer 2, and large subunit ribosomal RNA". The stretch from base 1 to 105 matches the Rfam family "5.8S ribosomal RNA", at positions 50 to 154 of the family's 154-position model. The record is from RNAcentral.